This 253-nucleotide ribosomal RNA is filed under the name uncultured bacterium. RNAcentral describes it as "partial 16S ribosomal RNA". It matches the Rfam family "Bacterial small subunit ribosomal RNA", at positions 524 to 776 of the family's 1533-position model. The record is from RNAcentral.
UACGGAGAGUGCGAGCGUUGUUCGGAAUCAUUGGGCGUAAAGCGCGUGUAGGCGGCUUGUUAAGUCUGGUGUGAAAGCCCUCGGCUCAACCGAGGACGUGCAUUGGAUACUGGCAGGCUUGAGUACGGGAGGGGGAGGCGGAAUUCCCAGUGUAGAGGUGAAAUUCGUAGAUAUUGGGAGGAACACCCGUGGCGAAGGCGGCUUCCUGGACCGAUACUGACGCUGAGACGCGAAAGCGUGGGGAGCAAACAGG